GUCGAUUCUGCCAGAGGCCACUGCUAUCGGGGCUCGAUUAAGCCAUGCGAGUCGAGAGGUGCAAGACCUCGGCAUACUGCUCAGUAACACGUGGACAACCUACCCUAAGGAGGGGGAUAACCCCGGAAAACUGGGGAUAAUACCCCAUAGACUACAGAAGCUGGAAUGCUCUGUAAUCGAAAGGUCCGCCGCCUUAGGAUGGGUCUGCGGCUGAUUAGGUUGUUGUUGGGGUAACGGCCCAACAAGCCUGUAAUCAGUACGGGUUGUGGGAGCAAGAACCCGGAGAUGGAUUCUGAGACACGAAUCCAGGCCCUACGGGGCGCAGCAGGCGCGAAAACUUUACAAUGCGAGAAAUCGUGAUAAGGGAACCCCGAGUGCCCGUAAAUUCGGGCUGUUAAUCUGUGUAAAAAGCAGGUGGAGAAAGGGCCGGGCAAGACCGGUGCCAGCCGCCGCGGUAAUACCGGCGGCUCGAGUGGUGGCCACUAUUACUGGGCUUAAAGCGUCCGUAGCUGGAUUGUUAAGUCUCUUGGGAAAUCUACCGGCUUAACCGAUAGGCGUUCAAGGGAUACUGGCAAUCUAGGGACCGGAAGAGGUGAGAGGUACUCCAGGGGUAGGAGUGAAAUCCUGUAAUCCUUGGGGGACCGCCUGUGGCGAAGGCGUCUCACCAGAACGGCUCCGACAGUGGGGGACGAAAGCUGGGGGAGCAAACCGGAUUAGAUACCCGGGUAGUCCCAGCUGUAAACGAUGUGCGUUAGGUGUAUCGGUGACCACGAGUCGCCGAGGUGCCGAAGAGAAAUCGUGAAACGUACCGCCUGGGAAGUACGGUCGCAAGGCUGAAACUUAAAGGAAUUGGCGGGGGAGCACCACAAC
This 870-nucleotide ribosomal RNA is filed under the name uncultured archaeon. RNAcentral describes it as "bacterial SSU rRNA". It matches the Rfam family "Archaeal small subunit ribosomal RNA", at positions 7 to 885 of the family's 1478-position model. The record is from RNAcentral.